Molecule: long non-coding RNA, 6723 nt
Organism: Clupea harengus (Atlantic herring)
Lineage: Eukaryota; Metazoa; Chordata; Actinopteri; Clupeiformes; Clupeidae
Source: Ensembl
GCCCCUCCACUUAUAUUUUGUAAAUAUCUUUUAAUAUUUUAUUAUCUCUUAAUAUUUUUUACUUUUUUAUAUAUUUAAUUUUAUAUAUUGUUUUUCUUAUGUGUAGUACGUAUUAUGUUUAUUGUAAGCACCAAUAUGCCAAAACACUUUCCUGGUAGGUGUAAACUUACUUGGCAAUAAAAACAAUUCUGAUUCUGUUAUUGGAUACUUUUUGUUGGAACUGUUAAACUGCCUAGACUGAGUUUUACUAUGUCUGUUUUUAAAGUAGUGAAGACAAUUGGAUAUGAAACAGGACCUCAGGCAGAGGAUUGGUAAUUCUUCAGUCAAUACGUCCUUCAUGAACCACACUUCCAGCUACAGGAAUAGAGUCUGCAGUAUGUACGUAUCUCUCUAACCUAACCUUUCUUGCUAUCCAGGUCGUUUUUGUGAGACACACUGAGUCAGCAUUUUUGUCUGUUACCAAUGGGCAUAGUAGACAUUUGAACUUGAAGUUUAUUAUCUUUCUGAUAUUCUUUUUUCUUUUUUUUUGUAUAUGAUUGUGUACAGUAGACUUUUCCUAGUGUGAGACACACUGAGUCAGCAUUUUUGUCCGUUAACAAUGGGCAUAGUAGACAUUUAAACUUGAAGUUUAUUAUCUUUCUGAUAUUCUUUUUUUUUGUAUAUGAUUGUGUACAGUAGACUUUUCCUGUAAAAUAAAACUACAUAGAAGACAUGAAAAUUCCCCCUAAAAUGAUGGAUUUGUUGUUACACAUAUGCUUUAUGUUUUUGUCUGACAUGAUUUUGUGAAGGACUGCAAAUACAAAUACAAUUAUUCACAAAUGUAGUUCUUGCUAUAUGCUGAAAUUAAUAAGAGCGACAGGGGUACAACAAAACAAUAUUGUCACACAAAAUACAAGUAUAUAAGCAGAUGGAAGGUAGACUUUUAUUCUAUACAUUCACACCAGCACACGAUGACGAAAACCCAAAGGUAAAACAUAGGCAGAUAUAUCAGCAAAAUAAGAACAAGGGAAGAAUUACAACAAUUUUGGUACACCCAUAUUUGCUGAAAUGUAAGUCAUCUACAAUGACAGUAACAUAACAAUUUGGACCACAAUAUUGGUAAAGCACAUUUCAUUGACAAAGUGUUCAAUGUCACAUGGAGUGUCCUCACUGAACAUUCUGGAGGUUUCCGCUUCACAACAUUGGUUAACCAACGCUGUAACCUGGUCAGCCUUAUGGGUCACACAGUGUCUUGGAAAAAGCACAAAGUAAUGUAGGGAAAAUCAGUAGACCUAACCAUUUUCAACCCCCAAACAAAAUAUUUACUUUUUUCAACAGGUGCUUCACACAAUGGUUACGGAAAUCCAAUUUAAAUCAACACAUCACCUGCUUUAAUUCAGGUUGUAUUUCAAUUUAAAAAAAGUAUUCAUGACUGGAUACAGUACCAGCAGGGCAUUAGUAUAAUGUGCACUUGACUAGACUGACAAAUGAGUACAAUUCAAACUAAUGGUAUGAGAACAGAAUUCAAAUUUCGAUAUGAUUAAAAUAUCAACCCAAUAAAUUAACAAAUAUUCUGACUCACCAAUUUACCCAUUGGUUAGACACAACCCAUACACUGUCAGUUUGCUGCUCAAUAAAUCUCGCUGAAAUUGUCCACCUUUGUACAACCUUUUUUCCUACCCACCUGCCCAGUUUUAGAUAGUGAUUAGGCUGUUAUUCCCCUUCACCAUGAAAAAUACAUAGUUACAAUUUUGUUGACAUAAGUCUCAGUAAUACUCAAUAUAAAUGAGAUCUUCCUGAGCCACUGAUUAGUAGUGACAAAAUGCUAUUUUAACAGGAAAACAGCAUGUUUAACAGUAUAUAGUAUGAUACAUUAAAACACGAUGCAAAUACUGUCUCUUUCCACAAAUAUACACCUCAUAAAUAAACAAAAAUAUAUAUAUAUAUUCAUCUGUUAACAGGUAACGUAAUUAUUUUCAAUAUAUAAGCUGUCCUCUUGCUGAAGAGAAAAAUAUAAUAUUUACUCUAAGGCUUUUCAGAGUAUCCAACUCCAAUUAGUAUUAUUGCAGACUAUCAUAUGAUAAACAAACACAUUAAUAACACAUAAAUAAAAUGUAAAAACACAAGCAAUAAGUGCCAAUAAUUACAAUAAUAAUAUCAAUACAAUAAUUAAGGCCUCAAAUGCAAUACAACGAAAUCACGUGAAAUGAACGAGAACACUGCCCAAAACAAUGGGGUUUAGUGACCAAUGGCAACUUAAAUACUUGCCCGAAUCCCUCACACCAAUGACAAAACUUUGGCAGCAAGAAGAUUUAAGGCUUUCACACCUACACACUUUCUUGGUGAACAACAGUGGUUGUGUGAAAGUGAGAACAACAUGACAGUACUUUUUGAAUACCAGCAUUUCAUUAGUGACAGUCACUUGUCCAUACAUAGGUUUUUUCAAAACCAGAAACCAUCAUAGAUGAUGUUGAAUGAUGCUGUGAUGGCAUUUUGAAUAACCUAAUAUAAAUACAUUUACAAUCCAAAGUUAAAAUAUUCUGUGGCAAAACAUUACAUUGGCUUUUAAUGCAAUUUCUUUACAUAUCCACCAUACUCACACUGUAGAUGAACAGUAUCCAUGUUCAUUUCCCAGAUGUGACUUAACAAUUUAUCAAAAAUAUAUAGAGAAAAAAAUAUAUCUUUUUUUUUUCAACUUUGGAGUACAAAGUGUUCAAUAACUUAAAGUAGGCAUAGUGUUGACUCCUACAACAUGGCUUUGUUUUUUCUUUUACACAGUAAACCUUUAAAGACAGGGUAAACUUCAUACAGUCUUUGAAGAAAAACAAGUACUUAAGUCAUUUAAGCCUAAGAACAAAAUAUAACAUCAACUCAAAAUGGAGGCUACAGUAUCAGUUCCUUCUGUAAAGCAGACCCCCAUAGAUCAUAGCUAGCCAUAUGAUAUUAUUUACAUUGGACAUAAAAAUUGAAAGCAUCAUUAAGUAUUCAAAGGGCUACUUAUUCAUGCAUGUUCUAUGUCUGUUUCAAACAGAAACCAUUCACAAAAUGUUAGGACAAGAUUUUCAUUGCAAUUCACAUAGCCUGUUGAUACUAAAAUCCUCAAAAGCAAAACAGUGCCAUAUAACACUGCAUGACACAAUCUGCAAGAAGUAGUCUUCUGCAGUGUUUGACAGUAGUCAAACAUUCUGUAAUGUAUAUAUUUAAAAUGCACCAGAGGAAAUAGAUAAUUGUUACAUAUUUUAAGUAAGCAGUCACAGGUAAAUGUAUAGUCACAUGUUGGACACAAACAACAUUUUAUAGGGAUUUUCAGUCAUUCAGAAAGUAGGGGUUUGUUUUGUUCCAGUACGUUUGAUUGCAGCAUCAAAACUUUGUCACCAAAAAUGUACAAAUGCUCUGAUUCUGGACCUCUUCGUGACCAUCCACAAGCUUACAAUUCUGUGUGUUAACCGCUGCCUGGGGACUGGCCUCCUUAAUAGAAGCUGUACUUGUCAGUCUGUCAGUGAUUACGAUGUACCCUGGUUUGAUUAAAUAAUGCAUUUGGUAAGUAAAGGAUAUAAAUGUUUUUGUCAGUUAAACAAUACUAUUUUCCAAAAAAUAAGUAUUAGUAUGUUUCAUUCAAGUUCAUUCAAAAAGUAUUUUUAAAAAAAAACAUGCAAAAUUCAUCAGGUUACCUACUUACAACUCCUUCUUUGGCACUGCCACAAUUCUUAUGGUCCUAGGGGUAGAAUUCUCUGGAUGUUCCACCUGCUACUUGCAGUGACAGAGUACAUAUGGAAAUGAAUAUAACACCAAAUUAAAGUACCUGAAGUACAAGGACAAUUGAAAUACUUUAACCUUAAUUACAUUUACAUUUAGUCAUUUAGCAGAUGCUUUUGUCCAAAGCGACGUACAUAAAAAAAAAAAAUUCAAACACCUAGGAGAAAACUGUGCCAUUCAAUUCUAUAUUCAAAUCUGGACAGGAGAUGUUCUUUUGUAUUUGUCUAUCUAAGCAUUUACUGUAUGUAAAGGUAAAGGUAAGGUAUGUAGCAGGCGCUUUUUUCCAAUCGAUUUCUUGGAAGGCAGCAAUACUGACCACGGGACAACUAAGUAAGAAAGAAUGUAUGUGUGUAUGCGUAUAUGUAUGUAUGUAUAGUUUUAAAUUAUUUAACGUAAUUAAACUGUACUUAGAUUUAGAUGAAGACUUAAUUUUCUUACUUAAUAAUAACUUCAGUGAGGCUUUAUUUUCAUACUUCUACUUAAUGAACCCAGUGAACAAAAGGACUUUAGCACCAUUUAAUUAAAAUACAUAAUUAAAAAAAGAAUUAAAACCUCAAUCAAUCCUAAUACUGAAGUCAACCCUUUUUUCAAAAAUAACUAUUAAUCUGACCGGCAUAAAAACCUUUGCCGGUUGUGAUGCAACCAUGGCAACAAUGUUCAUUACAUAUAUUAUAUAAAUAUAUACCGACCAGCGCUUAUAUAUAUAUCAUAUAUAAAAUCAGUAGGAUUGCGCUGGUUGGUUUAAGAAAACACCAAAAGUGAGUUUUGUCAAUCUGUGGGGGAAUAUUCUAGUAGGAAGAUCAGUCUUGUUUGCUUUGGCUCAUGCAUGGAUUCUUCAUCCUACACUUGAAAUUCGAUGUUUCCAGACUGUGUAUUCUUACUGAGUAUUAAUUACUGAGACUAUGGUGAUCAUAGGGUUAGAUGGCUACUUAACAAAUUGCUAGAAAGGAGACCAAGCAUUGAAAAAAGCAAUCCAUUCAGUAAUGAGCUACUGAAUAAUUAGGUCAAUACCUUCUCUUCCAGAGUUGAGAUGUCCUUCACUUCCGAACAUGACAGGCCACAGAGGAUAUCCUUUGCUUUAGCCAAGACUGUCACAUUUCAGAAAUAAGUUUAUGUCUGACAGAUAAGGUGUGCUGGAUUUUACUGUGGUGUUGUCCUAAUCGGUUUUGCAGUCCUUAUUACCACUGGUUGAACAUGUGAAGCAUCUGGGGCUGUAUUUAUGAAUGAUGUUACAGUGUUGACUGUAAAGACAGAACUGUAAUCACUGUUGUCCUUGGUGAGUGGGUCUGUGUGGGAGCGUGUCUUCAAGCUGGACUCUUUUUGACUUCAACCUCAGCUCUUCAUGUUCCUGUUUAGUUUCAGAAUGAAACAGUGGCUUGUCUAUGGCGGGCUCUCUCUGAAUCUCAUUCCACCCAGUCUGUUGGCAGGACUGUUCUCUUCGCAACUGGCUCUAUAGCGCCCCCCUCAAAUCCACCAAACCCAUGUGUCCAUGCAGUGCUAGAUCCUGAGGGGUCCUGAGGUUCCAAAAGCCCUGGGACUCCUGGACUGUGUGUGUGUGUCUCUCACUGAGACAGGGGUUUCACCGAGACAGAUCAUCUUCAGCUGGGGAAUGCCAUCCUGGGGAAGGGGCGGGAGGGAUCCACAAAUGACAGAGUUGACCAGACUGGAGCGGAGGACAGGUGUUUAUGGGAAGGUGUUGACCAGACUGGAGCGGAGGACAGGUGUUUAUGGGAAGGUGUUGACCAGACUGGAGCGGAGGACAGGUGUUUAUGGGAAGGUGUUGACCAGACUGGAGCGGAGGACAGGUGUUUAUGGGAAGGUGCUGAAGGCACACGUGGCACCGAGGGCCUUGCUGAGACUGCUGUUUCUCCUCUUACUGGUGGAUGUCGCAUUAUGGUGGGUUUAUAUCAUUUUUGGGUGAAUCCACCACUGCCUUGUAAGUGCCAUUCAUCUCUUGUGCCCCCCAGCAAGACGGUCCCUCUGAUCUAUGAAGCUUUUGAUUUGGCAAGUCUGCCUGAGUCCACAUUGACAAGGCAGAGAGCGAGACAUUCUUUGCUAUAUUUCAUCUAGAAUAAAGAAAAAGGGGUUGAACUAAUGAAGUCCAAAUCUGCGGGGAAAAAGAAAAUGUUACAUAACAUACAAUAGAUGUCUACCCAAUCUUAUAGUCAGUUUGUAUGUCUAAUGUCUAGUAAGUCUAAAUGGCUUCCUAAUGAGCAAGCUCAUUCUAACGUUAACCACCAACACUGCCUUUUUUGUAUCUGAGUUGAUAUGGAUGGAAAUAUGGAUACUUUGUUUAGACAUUUUUUAUUACAUCACAUAGUUGUUGUCAAUUAUACAACCUGGGAAAAUCUCACAUGCAUUUUUGUUUAUCACAGGGUCUAUUCUCACGAUAGAUACAAAAUGUAAAGACUUCUAGGGUUAUAAAAAUAUCGCUUACCACAGGUUUAGGAUUUUCAUUUGUGUUGUGUUCAAGUGUUGGGUAUCUAUGGCAGCAGGUUAUUUCUUUUUGUAUUACAUCUAACCAUUUAGUCUUUAUCUCUACAAAUUGGUGUGCUAACCUUGUUACUGUACUGGUUGUGUCAGUCAAAAUACAAUUUGUACAACCCCUCAAAAUAUGGGCCACAAUAUUUAACGAUGGAGCAUACCUCCAGGAUCCAUUGUGAAUCUCACAGUUCCUGCAGUUCUAGCUGUGAUGUAAUCAGGGGUAUAGGUCUGCUCUGGACAUUGCUGUAACCUUUAAUAGACAGCAGAUUUCCAAGACAGCAUUUCAUGGUGGAAGCAUCACCUAGACAAAUUCACAGGAACACAGUGGAUUCACUUGAUUUCGAAAGACAAACGAUCUAUCUAGCUCUGAAAAAACGUAUCUAUCACAUUCAAAUAUAAUCUACAAGCUGUGUAGCACCACACUGGCGAGACAGGAGAGAUGUGUCGGUCCCAGUGGCUUUAGGGUAAUGGCAUGUUGAUGAGUCACAAAUACUCUGUCUUUGU